This is a long non-coding RNA of Mya arenaria, 502 nucleotides long. RefSeq lists it as uncharacterized. NCBI's taxonomy places the organism in Eukaryota, Metazoa, Mollusca, Bivalvia, Myida, Myidae. The record is from RefSeq and is a predicted model, not a curated record. The transcript is spliced from 3 exons.
AUGGUUAUUUUCUUUUCUUUUCCAAACAGGUCUGGAUUUGGUGUUAACCUUGUUUGUCUACUAGUUUACAUUUCUUCGGGACCCACCAUCUUGCAAUUAUAUUUUCUAUACAGGAGUGAUAUUUGUCAAUACAUAAGAUUAGAAGAGGGCACUUUAAAAUGGACGUAAAGGAUAAAGACGCAUUUCUGAAGAUUCUGCCGGAAUUUUGUCAAACGGUUGAUCCCAUGACACUCAUCAUUGACUUACCAUGUUUAUCCCAAACAGAUAGGGAACAGAUCAUGAACUCUCAGACAGGCGCUUUGCAUGGUUCAACCUCUCUCGCCGCUCAGCUACUACACAGUGCUUUGAUUCGGAGACAACAAGGAUUCCGAGAGAUCGUGUUGGCAUUAAGGAAAAAUGGUCGUGACGAUCUAGCAGACAAAAUGGAUCCUGGUCAUAACAUCAACUAGCUGUAUUGGUAGUGUUUGGAGUUUAAUGAUAUAGAAGUAAAUGUGUGAAUCAG